UCAUCAAGACUUCUGGCUCCAGAGGGAGUCCUCUGACCUCCGUGCUACUUUCCAGCUGUGGAGUUUCCCCCAGCCUUGGAGAGGUGGCAUAGAAGCUUCCUGCAGCUGUGGAUAGAGAUUCCAGAGAGGCCACCUCGACUGUAGUGCUGGCUCCAUCCAGGGCUUCGGAGAGGCAAAGACAACGGCUGGAAGAGAAUAAAUGCCUCCUAUAAAGAUUUCUCAGGCCAACCCACGAAAGGACUUUUGAAAUGCCAUCGUGACCCCCUCGCUCAACGGUCCAGGAUGCCGACUCCUUUGCUCUCCCAGCUUAUGAAUGUCUUGAAGUCAUAGAACCUUCUUAUUUAAAAAUAAAAUUAAACCUCCUUGCCUGAGCGGUGAAGUCUUAAUGGCCUACAUAAGGCAAAUGGCAAUAAAGCAAAACAAGUGCAUCUUUAUGG
Molecule: long non-coding RNA, 437 nt
Organism: Marmota monax (woodchuck)
Lineage: Eukaryota; Metazoa; Chordata; Mammalia; Rodentia; Sciuridae
Exons: 3
Source: RefSeq, a predicted model, not a curated record